CAUUAGUCACGCGUGUAUCCGGCGCGGGCGCAGGUCGCGUCGCUCUGCACUCUGCGUCUCGAUAAUAACGUAACACUGUUUGCAAUAAAAAAAAACUCGUUAAAACGAAAGAGAAACGACUUCUUUUGUCGCUAAAGGGUAGUAGGUCAGUGAAAAGUUAAAGUAAAAGUGAUUAAAAAGUUAAAAGGGACACACCGAAAUAGUUUAUAAUUUUUGCCUUGAUUUUUGGAACGAUUGAUUGGGUUUUAGUGACUGAUAGUGUUUAAUUAAAAGGAAAACAUGACAUGAGUAUAGUGAUUUCAUCCAAGAAAUUGUUGUUACUAGAAAUGUGAGUAAUGUGACUCAACUAAUAUGACAUUGGAUUGUGAUAACAGUGCUGUGGAAUUUAUUUCUUUCAAAUAAAUCGUCUAGUGCUAGAGUCACGUUGUGUAUAGUGUCUGUAUUUACAUAAAAGUUAAACGUUUACAAGUUCUCCUUGGCUAGAAACUAAGAUCUGAAAAUCGAAUCUUCAAAAUGCAACGACCGAUAAUGCGAUUGCUCAUCUGGGCGUGUCUGGUGGGGCUCUGCUGGUGUCAAAGGGCGGAGCACCUGCUCGCACAGAACCCCUGUUCCAGCAAGACGAGCUGCAGCAACUGCAUUCGCACCCCCAGCUGUGCGUGGUGCUUCGCCCCCGAGUUCAAUGGACCCCGGUGCUUCAACCCCGCGAUGGAGGGCGGCACCGCAGGCUGCAGCGAGGAGUAUAUCUUCAACCCGGACAACCAGCGCUCUAUCGACCCUAUAUACAAUAAGGAGCUGACUAGAGCACAAGGCCGCAUGAGCAUGAGCUCGUCUACCUUCGAAGAGUCCAGCAUGAAAGGCGGCAGCUUCGCAGCUGGCGGCGGAGGCUUCGGAGCAGCGGCUGGUGGCGACAACCUGGUGCAAAUCAGGCCACAGCGAGUCAAACUGCAGUUGAGACAAAAUGCGAUGCAGACGCUGUCUUUCUCGUACUCCCAAGCUCAAGAUUAUCCCGUUGACUUGUACUACCUUAUGGACCUCAGUCGCUCCAUGAAGAACGACAAGGAGAAGCUCAGUACCCUCGGAUCUCUGCUGUCCAGUACAAUGAGGAAUAUUACAUCAAAAUUCAGAAUUGGUUUUGGUUCCUUUGUGGAUAAACUCGUCAUGCCAUAUGUGUCAACUGUGCCUAAAAACUUGAAAUCGCCUUGCGAGGGCUGCGCUGCCCCCUAUGGAUUCAUCAACCAGAUGUCGCUUAGCACCGAUACUGAUAGUUUUGACAGGGCAGUAGCGGACGCAGACGUGUCCGGCAACCUGGACGCGCCGGAGGGAGGCUUCGACGCCAUCAUGCAGGCCGUGGUGUGCAAGCAGCAGAUCGGCUGGCGCGACCAGGCACGGAGGCUGCUGGUGUUCUCGACCGACGCCGGGUUCCAUUAUGCUGGGGACGGCAAGCUUGGAGGUAUCGUUCAACCAAACGACGGAGAAUGUCACAUGGAAAAUAAUACGUACACGCAUUCAACCAUUCAAGAUUACCCAAGUAUUUCACAGAUCAAUCUAAAGGUGAAACAAAACGCAAUAAACGUUAUAUUCGCGGUGACGACGGAACAAAUUGGCGUGUACGAGGAACUGAGCAAACACAUCGAGGGCUCAAGUAGUGGUGUGCUCAGUGAAGACUCGGGUAACGUCGUGGAGCUCGUGAGAGACCAAUAUAAUAAAAUUACGUCCACAGUCGAGAUGAAAGAUACAUCAAGCGAUGCCGUGCAAAUAUCUUAUUACUCAUCGUGCAAGGGCGGCAAGGAGAAGGAGCAGACCAACAAGUGCGACGGGCUCAAGGUUGGAGAUGUAGUCGAAUUCACCGCUGAGAUCACGUUGAAGGAGUGCCCGAAGGACCCGGAAAAGUGGAAACAAUCAUUCCAGAUUUACCCUGUCGGUGUGUCUGAGACCCUUCACGUGGAAGUGGAAAUGCUCUGUGACUGUCCCUGCGAGCAUAAAGGACACCAUGCCUACGACGACAGCGUAUCCGUAUGCAGCGGGCAGGGGAUCUCCGCUUGCGGAGUUUGCCUUUGCAACCCCGGGCGCUUCGGGAAGGGCUGCGAAUGUUCGGCGCACGGCGGCGUGUCCCUGGAGCAGGAGCGCGGCUGCCGCCCCACCAACUCCACCUUCGGGCCGCUGUGCUCCAACCGCGGCACCUGCAUCUGCGGCGUGUGCGAGUGCAACAAGAUGGAGGACUCCUCCAAGGUGAUAUCUGGCCCGUUCUGCGAGUGCGACAACUUCACGUGCGACUUGAACAAGGGCAAGCUGUGCUCGGGCCCCGAGCACGGCGAGUGCGUGUGCGGCAAGUGCAGCUGCCGGCCCGAGUACACCGGGCCCGCCUGCCAGUGCCUGCGCGACCAGGCGCCCUGCCGCUCGCCCGAAAACGGUGAAAUCUGCAGCGGCAACGGGAAAUGUGUGUGUGGCCAGUGCGUGUGCAACGUCGACGACGAUCGCCACUACUCCGGCAAAUACUGCGACAAGUGUCCGACGUGCCCGGGCAAGUGCGGCGAGUUCAAGGAGUGCGUGCAGUGCGAGGCGCACCAUCGAGGCCCGCUGUACACGGAGGAGCCCACGGGCGCGCCCUGCGGCAACUGCGCGUUACACCCCAUCAUCGUCGAGGGCAAACUCGAAGCGAACGAAACAUUGAACGAGCAUUUAUGUAGUUUCUACGACGACGAAGACUGCUUGUACCUUUACGUGUACUCGUACGACGAAAACCAGCGCUUGCUCAUCCGGGCGCAGAAGGAACGAGAAUGUCCAAAGAAGGUGUUCAUCCUGGGCAUAGUCCUGGGCGUGAUCGCGGCCAUCGUGCUGGUGGGGCUGGCGCUGCUGAUGCUGUGGAAGAUGGUCACCACCAUCCACGACCGUCGCGAGUUCGCGCGCUUUGAGAAGGAGCGCAUGAUGGCCAAGUGGGACACCGGCGAGAAUCCUAUCUACAAGCAGGCGACCUCAACCUUCAAAAACCCCACGUACGCUGGGAAAUAAUGUGGUUAACAUUAACUUGACGACACUAAACCAACACACAAGUGUCUGGAGCGGUGAAGACAUUUUCUUCGUUGGUUGCAUUUCAUAAGUAAAAUAGUAGCAUUAAAAUUGUGAAAGCUUAUUGCUGGUGUUAGAAAAAGUUGCCUUAUAUUGUGCCUUUCAUAUAUUAAAACAUGUUUUAGUGUUUAUUAUACACUCAUCCGCACAUUAUUGACUAGACUUAAUGUAAUAUUACGUGACUAUAUUUUUGUCAGUUUUAAAAAAAUGCAAAAAACUGUUUCAAUGCUUAUCGAAUAGAAAUUCUGCGUUGCAAAUUUUAAGGUCUGGAAUAAUCUCAAUAUUAUUAUAUUGAAAGCGUUUUGUACUUAUAUGAGGGAGCGGUAUGUGCUUAUGUGUGUGUAGAUGUAGACUCGGCAAGGUACAAAUUGAAAUUUAGCUUUUCUUGCUUGAAAAGUUUGUAGCUUCCAGAAAAGUAGUGUUGUAAAAUAUCUGUCACAACGACCUGUUUAAUUGUAGAAAUAUUGUAUUCAGAGGCAAUCUCGAGUCUGGAAAUCAGUACAUUAUUUUUUUGUGGAUAAAGAUUUUGUAUGUAGUCAUAAAAAGAGUUUAGACGUUAUAGAUGAAUGAAAUUAGAUGUGUUUGUGAACGUGUGUAAGGGGACUCAUUUUGGUUGUCUGUAUUGUCACUGCCAACAGUCAAGGUUUAAUAGGGUAUUUUACUACAGUCUGCCUUAUUUUACUACAUUAUUUCUUGUACUAUCUUUCUUUCUAUUAUCUUUCCUACACUUCUAUUAUACGUGUGCAACUCACAUUUAUUGUAUUAUUAAUUUUUUAAUUUACUUAUAAGUAACUUCAUCAAAAAAGGCAAAAAUAGUAAAUUUACCCUAUUGUCUUCAUCAUAUUGUGUAUGAGAAUGUAUAUUUAAUAGAUUCAAGUUGGCUUCCCUAAUAUUCUGGUGCCUUAUAUUAUACACCCUAUUAACAGUAAAUAAUAAAACUAGUGCCAUUACUAAUAUAUAAAUGAAGCGGUAUUCCGUAUGUAAUAUUUAUUAAAUUAGAUAUUUUGUAAUGACUUGAAUAUUAAUUUUAUUCUGUAAGUGACAUUUCUGAUUAUACGUAAGUUCAAUUUUGUAUUUACCUUAAUUAAUAAUAUUUUGCAUUUUUGUCAAGUUUUUCUAUCGUUAUUUAUAGGUAUUCUCUGACAACACUUUAGUCUUGCCUUUGUAAAAUUAUUUAAAACAUACUUGAAAUAUUUGAAUAAUCUGUAAUUCAAUAUACCUAAUAAGAGCUUAAGUUUAUUUUCAAUAUUUUCAAAGAAUCAAAAUAUAAAAUAUACGCCAAUAGAGGUUUUGAGAUAUUUACGUUUGUAUAUAAUUAUUUUGAUAAAUCUAUAAAUUAUUUUUAUUUUGUCGUGGUCUCUAAUAGUAGCUAAUAAAAAUAUUAACUC
Molecule: RNA transcript, 4454 nt
Organism: Ostrinia furnacalis (Asian corn borer)
Lineage: Eukaryota; Metazoa; Arthropoda; Insecta; Lepidoptera; Crambidae
Gene: mys
Gene name: position-specific antigen beta subunit myospheroid
Exons: 18
Source: RefSeq, a predicted model, not a curated record